This 450-nucleotide ribosomal RNA is filed under the name uncultured bacterium. RNAcentral's name for it is "partial 16S ribosomal RNA". It matches the Rfam family "Bacterial small subunit ribosomal RNA", at positions 354 to 796 of the family's 1533-position model. The record is from RNAcentral.
GUGGGGAAUCUUCCGCAAUGGACGAAAGUCUGACGGAGCGACGCCGCGUGAGUGAAGAAGGCCUUCGGGUCGUAAAGCUCUGUCAUCAGGGACGAACGGCCGGUGGAGUGGAAAGCCACCGGAUUGACGGUACCUGAGAAGGAAGCCACGGCUAACUACGUGCCAGCAGCCGCGGUAAUACGUAGGUGGCAAGCGUUGUCCGGAAUUAUUGGGCGUAAAGCGCGCGCAGGUGGGAUCUUAAGUCCAUUUUGAAAGUUCGGGGCUCAACUCCGUGAUGGGAUGGAAACUGGGAUUCUUGAGUACCGGAGAGGAAAGCGGAAUUCCCCGUGUAGCGGUGAAAUGCGUAGAUAUGGGGAGGAACACCAGUGGCGAAGGCGGCUUUCUGGACGGUGUCUGACACUGAGGCGCGAAAGCUAGGGGAGCGAACGGGAUUAGAAACCCGAGUAGUCC